CACCGCUUGUUUACAUCAGUCAUCUUUUAAUUACAUGGCUCAUAAGCUUGUAUCUCUGUGUGAAUUCAUUUUUUUAUUUGUACUGUGACACAAGCAACAAUAAAAUAUAUUAGAAGUGCAGAUAGGUCUUAAAGCAAGGGUACUUAAACAGUUGAACAGUAGUCUUCUCUGAAAAAACUGAAAUGUCGACUUUAAUUAAAUGUAUUAUGUCAACUACUUUCACAUAACUGUUUUAGGUUAGUUGAGAGCAAUACUAUUAAGCUGAACCUCUUAUUAUUGCUUUCAACUAACUCAUACAGUUAUGUUGACAAUAUACUUAAUUAAAGUCAACGUUUCAGUUUGUUUAGCAUGUAAAUUGAUUCGAGUUAAGUAUUUCCCUCUGAAUUGCUGUAAUGAAGAAACAAAGUAAAAUGGGAAGAAAAUAAUACAAUAUAAGCGUCUCAAACGUGUUCUUAAGUCCAGUAUUUUAGUACAUGCACUUGCUGUCUACCAGUGUACUUAUGGAGGAAGAGGCUGCUUUUAAAUGUGAAAUGGUGUUAUGCGUUUUAUUCCCACUGGAUGGCGUGCAUUAUCAGCUUCAUGUAGUGAGUGGCCUCCAACUAAGUGAUGUACAGUCACCAAGUUGUCAGAAUACGCAGGCAGACCCUGAUGACUCGGCAAUGUCUGGAGUAAAACCUCCAGAGAGCUGACAACACGAGCCCAGUGGAAGUAGCCAUCAGGUCCAAACACAGAACGUUAUUAAGAAAGACGUGUUUACGAAUCAAAAAUAUCCACCACAACUUUUUGUGAAGUCUAUCACAAUGCAGUUAAUAUUACUGGCAGCGACGUUUCUCUUUACGCACGACUUUACCGGAGCUGUGCGUCCAGAAAAGUGCGCGUCCCGCUGCGACGUGAGCUCUUGUCCGAGCCCCAGCUGUCCGGUCGGCGGGUACGUCCCGGAUAGAUGUAACUGCUGCAUGGUGUGCUCCCCCCGCGAAGGAGACCCCUGCGGCCGCAAGAACCACCUGCCCUGCGGGGAUGGCCUGGAGUGCAAGCUGCUCGCUGCGGGUAGGCGGCGAGGCUCCAAGGGUGUCUGCCGGUGUAAGAUGGAGCAUGAAGUGUGCGGAAGCGACAGGAAAACGUACGGGAAUGUGUGUAAGAUGAGAGUGACCAGCCGUAAAGCGGAGCAGAAAGGCAGACCCGCAGUUAGCCAGGCGCAUAAAGGACCAUGCGUACCCUCAACCACAGGUCGCAUCCCGGGCCAUCCCAGCAGCCCUCGCUACAAGUUCAACUUCAUCGCUGACGUGGUGGAGAAAAUAGCUCCAGCUGUUGUCCACAUUGAAAUGUUCAUAAGACACCCCCUGUUUAAUCGCCACGUGCGUCUCUCCAGCGGCUCUGGUUUCAUUGUGACCCCCUCAGGUGUGAUUGUGACCAACGCUCAUGUGGUGACCACGGAUGCCACGGUUACAGGGCAGCCCCAGCUGCGCGUGCAGCUCCUAGACGGUGACGCAUAUGAGGCUGCGGUCAGACAUGUAGACAGGAAGGCAGACAUCGCCACCAUCAAGGUCAAUCCCCAGAAGAAGCUCCCCGUGCUGUCUCUGGGCCGUUCAGCUGAUCUGAGGCCCGGGGAAUUUGUGGUUGCUAUUGGCAGCCCCUUCGCCCUGCAGAACACCGUCACCACCGGCAUCGUCAGCACCGCGCAGAGAGACGGAAAGGAGCUGGGCAUCAAGGACUCAGACAUGGACUACAUCCAGACUGACGCCAUUAUUAAUUAUGGAAACUCUGGAGGACCUCUUGUUAACUUGGACGGUGAGGUGAUAGGCAUCAACACUCUGAAAGUGACAGCAGGGAUCUCCUUUGCGAUACCCUCAGACCGAAUCAGUCGCUUCCUCACAGAGUCACAGACCAAACACAUCAAAAGUCAGAGGUCAAAGCCUGAGCAAUACAAAGAAAAGACAAAACUCAAAAUAAGACUUCCAGAGGCAACACAGGCUGAUGCAGUCUGGUAGCAGAGUUGAAACGUCAGAAUCCAGACUUUCUGAGAGCAGCAGUGAAGUUUUGGUGCAACAGGUCAUACCUGACACUCAAGCAGAAAAUUUCCAUGCUUUGGCUGACGUCGGGGUCCUGCUCCACAGCGAAGAAUGGAUGCUCAAGGACUUUGAGGGGAAUAAUCCGCCCAUACUUGUCUGGCACCAGCAUCUUUUUCAAGAGGUCCACAAAGUUCAACAACUCCUCUCUCUUGGCCAAGGUUCUAUAAGGUAUCACCUGGAAGAAAUUGAAGGUAAAACCUGUCUGAGUUAUCAUGUUGAAUAACGCAAAGCAGUAAAAAAAAUAAAAAUACAUCAGAUAAAUCUUUGUAAUAACAUUAUAUUAUCUAAAUAAAGACCACCUACCUCCACCAGGUCAUCAAGAGAGGUCAGAUAGAAAAAUGGGUUUCCUCUAAAGUGAUGCCCAGUUUGUGCUGUAAUCUCCCAUGGAGUCUAUAGAGAGACAAUGUUUUGGUUACAUCGUUUAUUCUGAGCGACAGACAGACAGACAGACAGACAGACAGACAGACAGACAGACAGACAGACAGACAGACAGACAGACAGACAGACAGACAGACAGACAGACAGACAGACAGACAGACAGACAGACAGACAGACAGACAGACAGACAGACAGACAGACAGACAGACAGACAGACAGACAGACAGACAGCUACCUUAAGUCUCCAGGUUUGCUGGUUGUGACUUUCCUCAAUGUUAAAGUAGAAGCUGCUCUUUUGUCCACAGUUAAGUAGAAAAUCCGGAGGCUGACCCACCAAGUCCACAAUUAGUUUGAGCGCAUCAUAUUCGUGGUCUGCAGGGAACAGACCAAAGCCUGCGGCAAUUUCUGCAACCACUGCACCGAGAGACCACAUGUCAAUCUGUUCACUGAAGUCCAUGCCCAGGAUGACCUCUGGCGCCCUGAGAGAAGAGAAACACUUCUUGUUAAGCUCACUUUUGUUUAUUUUCCAGUACAGAAACAGACUUCCAUCAAAGCCGCAGCCUCUGUGCCACAUGUUUUUUUGUAGCUACCUGUACCAAAGACUCUGAACAGUGGUCCCUGGAAUGGCUUCGGACACGUGGCGAGCCAGGCCAAAGUCAAUGAGUUUGACCUGAAGUGGAUGCUUGAAACGGUUCACCACCAUUAUAUUCUCAGGCUUUAAAUCAGCAUGGAUUAUUUCCAGGGCCUUAAGGUGGAGCAGUGCUGUUGUCAGCUGAAGAAGCACAAAGAAUUUGAUGCUUCAGUAUCACAACAAUGUGCAUUUUUAGGUAUGAUUUUCCAUUGAAUGUCAAAUGAUACUUCUGAAAAAUGUAUGAUUCCACAUACUUGACGUAAAACUGGACGGAUCUCAGCUAUGGACAGAGCGUUGUGUUGUCUCUGCAGCGUGUACUCAUAGAGACUCAGGUCCAAGAUCUCAAACUCCAAACAAAUGUACUUUUCAUGGUAGAACGAGCCAUACCAUUUCACCAGACCGCAUUCAUCUGCAUCGAGAGCCUGUAGCUUUUGGAGAAUUUUAAUCUGUGGAAGACAUAAAAAAUGUGAUUAUUACUAUUUGCUGUCACCUUCAGUACAACAUUGUAAGUGUCCCAUCAUGCAGCUUCAGUUUUUAUUAUUAGAGUUUGUAAUCUACCUCUUCCAGUGCUCGCUGAAAGAAAAUGGGUCUAUCCUUGUUUAUUUUGACGGCCUUCAUUGUGUUGGUUACAUGGUCUAUACACAUGGCCACCUUCCCAUAGCAGCCCUCCCCGAGAAAGGCCAGGACCUCGUAGCUGGAUGCCAGCAGGGUCCCCUCGUGGAUCGAGAAAUCGUCUGUGGAGGUUUGGGAGAGAGGAGGAGAUGGAAACAAAAUGAAGUUACAUUUCACAGUACACAAAACAAAUCACAACAGAUUGAUCACAUGUAACUAUCUUCGUAGCUGAGUAUGAAUUAGCAAAACACAAAACAUUUUUUUAUGAGAAAUGUUCAGACUUUCAUUUGUUUCUGUGAACAAGAAACAUGUAUUUGAUCACUGAGUACUAAGCCUGGUCCCUAUUUUGUAACCAGAAACUAAAAAAACUCUAUUUAGCAAGCAUCAGCUUAAGUCUGUGUUUUUCAGUACUUUACUGACUUUUGUUUACUACUCUCUGCUUACCUAUGACUGACAUGUCAGUCAUUGUCUGUAAUAGUUUUGAAGCAAAUCUAGCUUGUGUUGAAAAAGGCGUUGAGGCGAUGUGUCUCUGUGUUUCUCAGAACUUCCAGUGUUGCAUUCUAAAGUUCCUUCCAUUCUGAUGGAACUUUAGAAUGGAAUCCAUAUGCAAGUUAGGGAACAUGUAUGUGUAUCUUAUUAAAAAAUCAUGAAAGUCA
RNA transcript from Eleginops maclovinus (Patagonian blennie), 4346 nucleotides. It is a transcript of the gene named serine protease HTRA3-like, with no coding region annotated. The record is from RefSeq and is a predicted model, not a curated record. NCBI's taxonomy places the organism in Eukaryota, Metazoa, Chordata, Actinopteri, Perciformes, Eleginopidae. The transcript has 9 exons.